This 445-nucleotide ribosomal RNA is filed under the name uncultured bacterium. Its description in RNAcentral is "partial 16S ribosomal RNA". It matches the Rfam family "Bacterial small subunit ribosomal RNA", at positions 354 to 796 of the family's 1533-position model. The record is from RNAcentral.
GUGAGGAAUAUUGGACAAUGGGCGCAAGCCUGAUCCAGCCAUGCCGCGUGCAGGAAGACGCAUCUAUGGUGUGUAAACUGCUUUUGUACGGGAAGAAACACUCCCUCGUGAGGGAGCUUGACGGUACCGUAAGAAUAAGGAUCGGCUAACUCCGUGCCAGCAGCCGCGGUAAUACGGAGGAUCCAAGCGUUAUCCGGAAUCAUUGGGUUUAAAGGGUCCGUAGGCGGUUUAAUAAGUCAGUGGUGAAAGCCCAUCGCUCAACGAUGGAACGGCCAUUGAUACUGUUAGACUUGAAUUACAAGGAAGUAACUAGAAUAUGUAGUGUAGCGGUGAAAUGCUUAGAUAUUACAUGGAAUACCAAUUGCGAAGGCAGGUUACUAAGCUACAACUGACACUGAAGCACGAAAGCGUGGGGAUCAAACAGGAUUAGAUACCCUGGUAGUCC